RNAcentral lists this transfer RNA (73 nucleotides) under Felis catus (domestic cat). It matches the Rfam family "tRNA". From Rfam's summary of the family: Transfer RNA (tRNA) molecules are approximately 80 nucleotides in length. Their secondary structure includes four short double-helical elements and three loops (D, anti-codon, and T loops). The record is from Rfam by way of RNAcentral. Lineage: Eukaryota; Metazoa; Chordata; Mammalia; Carnivora; Felidae.
GCCUGGCUGGUUCAGUCAGUGGAACAGGUGACUCUUGAUCUUGGGAGUGUGGGUUUGAGCCCCAUGUUGGGUA